This 499-nucleotide unclassified non-coding RNA is filed under the name uncultured Glomus. RNAcentral describes it as "SSU rRNA". It matches the Rfam family "Eukaryotic small subunit ribosomal RNA", at positions 591 to 1092 of the family's 1831-position model. Lineage: Eukaryota; Fungi; Glomeromycota; Glomeromycetes; Glomerales; Glomeraceae. The record is from RNAcentral.
CCAAUAGCGUAUAUUAAAGUUGUUGCAGUUAAAAAGCUCGUAGUUGAAUUUCGGGAUCAAUAUAUCGGUCGUGCCUUGGUACGUACUGGUAUCAUUGGUUUCUCCUUUCUGACGAACCAUGAUGUCAUUAAUUUGGUGUUAUGGGAAGUUAGGACUGUUACUUUGAAAAAAUUAGAGUGUUUAAAGCAGGCUUUAGCUUGAAUACAUCAGCAUGGAAUAAUGAAAUAGGACGUUCGAACCUAUUUUGUUGGUUUCUAGGAUCAACGUAAUGAUUAAUAGGGAUAGUUGGGGGCAUUAGUAUUCAAUUGUCAGAGGUGAAAUUCUUGGAUUUAUUGAAGACUAACUACUGCGAAAGCAUUUGCCAAGGAUGUUUUCAUUAAUCAAGAACGAAAGUUAGGGGAUCGAAGACGAUCAGAUACCGUCGUAGUCUUAACCAUAAACUAUGCCGACUAGGGAUCGGAUGAUGUUAAUUUUUUAAUGACUCAUUCGGCGCCUUACG